Chelonoidis abingdonii (Abingdon island giant tortoise) is the source of this 456-nucleotide non-coding RNA. The record is from RefSeq and is a predicted model, not a curated record. NCBI's taxonomy places the organism in Eukaryota, Metazoa, Chordata, Testudines, Testudinidae.
AUACUGAUGACAGGUCAGAAGAGACAGAAAAGCAUAUUAAUUUCAGAGUUUUGCUAUUGUUUAGUUUCCUAAAAAUACUGAGUAGCCAAAUGCUGAUCAUAUUUCCAUUAUUCAAAAUAGAGAUCAGAUCAAUACAGAGUUCAGUAGCCAGAGGAUACAACUACCAAAAGUCUCAUCAUGCAAACACAAAGUUGACCAGAUCUAGUGCAAUUUUUUUUUUUCUUUUAAAGUAUCAAUUGAGCAUGUUCCCUCCCAUUAGGGUUUAGAAGCAAUGACUGCAUCUGACACCAGGACCUAUCAAAUUUAUUCUUUGGGGAUCAGGACAAAACAAGAGCCCAGUAAAUGAAGCAUUGAAGCCCACAAGGAAAACAAACAAGUUGCUGCACUUGGGCAGUUUCCCUCACACAAUCAUGCAAACUGCAGCAGUCCACAGUGACAGACUAACUGUCUCAUCCA